CCCACACUGAGCUCGAACUUUCGAUCCUCCCGCCUCAGCUUCCGAGGGAGCUAGGAUUGCAGGCGUGUGCCACCGCGCAGGGCUGAGCCCCCAGGCCCCCUCAGUCAGACUCUUGGAGUCCGCCGUCCUGGCCCCAUCUAGGGCUCAGUUCUUUGAUCCUUUGAAGGAUGUCUUGACUUUCUUGGAAAAAACAGUCUGCAUCGAAAGGCAGAGGCUCAAUUCGGUGCUCAUAGACAAAGAGGGUCAAGACGGAAACGAAUCAAACAGUAUUGGGAAAAGGCAACCGCCUCUGAAGUCUCGCAGGGUUCUAAUCGGAUACAAGAAACCUGGAAAAACCGUUUAGUGAAAAUGGCACAUAGCCUGUCCUUCAGUUACAAAUCCCAUUUUUUCUGGUGGCGGGGAUGGUGGGCCGUGUGUGUUGAGAGAGGAGAGUGCAAGUUCGUGCAGCUGGGACUUCUCCCUUAUAUCCAGACCAUGUCUUGAAAUCGGAAAAGGCCACAGCUACAGAAAUACAUCGGCCUUCAUGAGACCAGUGGUUUUUCAGUGCAGUCACUGUGACUCAGUCUGUUGAAGCCUCUGCAACCACACAGAGACAGAAAGCUGCAGGGUCUCAGUAUAAAACUACAGACCGAGUGGAAUCAGUAGUGCAGAAAGAAUGAGUGUCCUCGAGUAGAUUGUCUACAGACAGACACUGGAGUGCAAAAUGUUCUUCUGCCCUUUCUAUGGUGUCUCACUGGGCUACAUUUUCCUGAUAUGCUGGCAACGCUGGGUUAGGUGAUCAUCUAUCUGAUGUGAAAUUCUUCUGCAAAUCCCACACCCUUCAAGACAUCUUCCCAUUCUAUGUAUACUGGACAAUAAGUCUUGAUUUCUGUCUCUAUUAGUUGUGGGGUUUUUUCCCAGUAUAUCCAAACAAAGUUUUCUAAUUCCAGCUAAAUAAAAUGGGAAAUAAGGGCAGAAAACAAAAACAAAAAAUUUUAAUUCAUCUCUAAGAGUAAGGUAAAUGUGCAUUAUACUAUGUGUGGGGAUUCAGUUGUUAUCAGUACAAAUUUUGCCAAUGACUCAGAUCAUUAUCCAAGAGAAUAAAACUGUUAGGAGUUAUAAAAGAAUGUCAAGAUCUUUUAAGUUAAUGUUUUUCCUGAAUGAGAUACGUUAAUCACUAAUCUGUAUAAAAUUUGAAUGAUUGCAUAUUUUAAAUUUUAAUUAUUAUGUAUUUUUAGUGAGUGUUAGAAAGAUGUAACUAGUGCACAGAACCUGAUUUUUCCCCGGCAGUUUUAGUUAGGAUGAAGCAAAAGUAGGUGGACGCUGAGACUGGUAACCUCUCUAUUUUCCUUGCCUUUCCCUAGCCCGUAAGUCAUGUUCAUAUACUUCAUAUAUGACUGGUUUUCCUGAAGAAGCUCAGUGUGAAAGACUAUAUUCUGUAUGAUUUCAUUUAUCUAAAAUUUGAGAAAAGGCAAAACUACUGUGUGAGGAAAUCAGUGAUCACCAGAGGCUGAGUUUAGGGGAAGCAGAUUGACUGGAAAUGGGUAUGAGGAAAUGUUUUGGGGUGAUGGAAAUGUAAUUAUACAAGCAUAAACGUAUGUCAACGUUCAUUGAAUUCUGUAGUCAAAAUUAGGAAUUACAUAUGAGUGAUGUAUAAAUUGUAUCUCAAUAAAACUGAACUAAAAAGACCUUUCUUCUUGAAAUGAUUUUAAAUUUUCCACCUCCUCCCACCUUGUUUUCUUAUAUUUCCAUUUGCACUUUUUAUUGUUUCCAUUUUACUUCAC
Molecule: long non-coding RNA, 1763 nt
Filed under: Heterocephalus glaber (naked mole-rat)
Lineage: Eukaryota; Metazoa; Chordata; Mammalia; Rodentia; Bathyergidae
Description: lncRNA (ENSHGLG00100034171.1)
Source: RNAcentral